GAUGAAGAACGUAGCGAAAUGCGAUAAGUAGUGUGAAUUGCAGAAUUCAGUGAAUCAUCGAAUCUUUGAACGCACAUUGCGCCCCUUGGUAUCCCGAGGGGCAUGCCUGUUCGAGCGUCAUUUCACCACUCAAGCCUGGCUUGGUGUUGGGCGACGUCCCCUUUGGGGACGCGCCUCGAAACGCUCGGCGGCGUGGCACCGGCUUUAAGCGUAGCAGAAUCUUUCGCUUUGGAAGUCGGGGCCCCGUCUGCCGGAGGACCUACUCGCAAGGUUGACCUCGGAUCAGGCAGGGAUACCCGCUGAACUUAAGCAUAUCAAUAAGCGGAGGA
This 329-nucleotide unclassified non-coding RNA is filed under the name soil metagenome. RNAcentral's name for it is "partial contains 5.8S ribosomal RNA, internal transcribed spacer 2, and large subunit ribosomal RNA". The stretch from base 1 to 120 matches the Rfam family "5.8S ribosomal RNA", at positions 35 to 154 of the family's 154-position model. The record is from RNAcentral.